CUUGCUGACGACCGGCGCACGGGUGCGUAACGCGUAUAGAACCUACCUUAUAUUGGGGGAUAGCCCAGAGAAAUUUGGAUUAAUACCCCAUGGUAUGCUAGAGUGGCAUCACUUUAGUAUUAAAGAUUUAUCGAUAUAAGAUGGCUAUGCGUUCUAUUAGCUAGUUGGUAAGGUAACGGCUCACCAAGGCGACGAUAGAUAGGGGUCCUGAGAGGGAGAUCCCCCACACUGGUACUGAGACACGGACCAGACUCCUACGGGAGGCAGCAGUGAGGAAUAUUGGACAAUGGAGGCAACUCUGAUCCAGCCAUGCCGCGUGCAGGAAGACUGCCCUAUGGGUUGUAAACUGCUUUUAUAGAGGAAGAAACCGCUCUACGUGUAGAGCUCUGACGGUACUCUACGAAUAAGGAUCGGCUAACUCCGUGCCAGCAGCCGCGGUAAUACGGAGGAUCCAAGCGUUAUCCGGAAUCAUUGGGUUUAAAGGGUCCGUAGGCGGGCUUAUAAGUCAGUGGUGAAAGUUUGCGGCUCAACCGUAAAAUUGCCAUUGAUACUGUAGGUCUUGAAUCAUUGUGAAGUGGUUAGAAUGUGUAGUGUAGCGGUGAAAUGCAUAGAUAUUACACAGAAUACCGAUUGCGAAGGCAGAUCACUAACAAUUGAUUGACGCUCAGGGACGAAAGCGUGGGUAGCGAACAGGAUUAGAUACCCUGGUAGUCCACGCCGUAAACGAUGGUUACUAGCUGUUUGGACUUCGGUCUGAGUGGCUAAGCGAAAGUGAUAAGUAACCCACCUGGGGAGUACGUUCGCAAGAAUGAAACUCAAAGGAAUUGACGGGGGCCCGCACAAGCGGUGGAGCAUGUGGUUUAAUUCGAUGAUACGCGAGGAACCUUACCAG
This 892-nucleotide ribosomal RNA is filed under the name uncultured bacterium. RNAcentral describes it as "bacterial SSU rRNA". It matches the Rfam family "Bacterial small subunit ribosomal RNA", at positions 84 to 977 of the family's 1533-position model. The record is from RNAcentral.